This 497-nucleotide ribosomal RNA is filed under the name uncultured bacterium. Its description in RNAcentral is "partial 16S ribosomal RNA". It matches the Rfam family "Bacterial small subunit ribosomal RNA", at positions 28 to 507 of the family's 1533-position model. The record is from RNAcentral.
GAUGAACGCUGGCGGCGUGCCUAAUACAUGCAAGUCGAGCGAACAGAUGAGGAGCUUGCUCCUCUGACGUUAGCGGCGGACGGGUGAGUAACACGUGGAUAACCUACCUAUAAGACUGGGAUAACUUCGGGAAACCGGAGCUAAUACCGGAUAAUAUAUUGAACCGCAUGGUUCAAUAGUGAAAGACGGUUUUGCUGUCACUUAUAGAUGGAUCCGCGCCGCAUUAGCUAGUUGGUAAGGUAACGGCUUACCAAGGCAACGAUGCGUAGCCGACCUGAGAGGGUGAUCGGCCACACUGGAACUGAGACACGGUCCAUACUCCUGCGGGAGGCAGCAGUAGGGAAUCUUCCGCAAUGGGCGAAAGCCUGACGGAGCAACGCCGCGUGAGUGAUGAAGGUCUUCGGAUCGUAAAACUCUGUUAUUAGGGAAGAACAAAUGUGUAAGUAACUAUGCACGUCUUGACGGUACCUAAUCAGAAAGCCACGGCUAACUACGUG